UUUGUGUAUAUACUGUAUCUCUGUAUAUCUUUCCAAAUUCCAUCUUGCCUUACCAUAUAUUUUUAAAAGAACGAUUGUUUUGUGAGUUAUCCGUGUACUUGUGUUAUGUUGUCACUGACCAUGAGUAUAUAACAAUUUGUUGGACAAAACUAUUCUUGUGGUUUGUGCCAAGGUUGGGCACCAUCUUAAAAUAUAAAAUGAUAACGUUGCCAAACAUUUUUAUGUUGAAGGACCAACAAGAAAGGAUUUCUUCCGGCAGCAUAACAAAGAACCCAUUGGGUGGAUGCAAUACCCAAAUGCAUUUUUCACUAAAUCUUUUUAAUUAACUAAUUACAGUGGCAGAGCUAGAUGGGGGGAUAGCUCGAGAGGCAAAGGGCCAAUACAUUAAUUCCUGAGCGGUCCAAAAACUAUAAUUUGUUGAACUAAGCACCCCAAGAGAUUUUUUAUUCACCCAUUUUGUCAAGGUUGGGGGUUUAAUGAGAUCAAGCACUCCGUCCUCUGCCAGGUCGCCGCUGCCGCCGGGGACAUGGACGUGCACGUGGGUCCGUCAGUCGCUGGCAAACGAGGUCGCGUCCGCGCGGAGCACCGCUCUCCUCCCUGCUGCCAGCGACGCCCUCCUGUCUCCUCUGCACCAGUCUACUCCUUGAUAUUAUUUACAAAAGAAAAUGAUUGGGUGAAGAGUUGAAGGCCUGAAACCAAAUGUUCCUAAUCAGGAAGUUGACCCGCACAACUCCUCUGAAACAAGGCCAACCCUAUGUGCAAAGAUUUAAAGAUCGUAAAUAUGUUUAAUGUGGUCCAAUAUCGUAUAGCACUAUAUUGCUUCAUGCAGACCCUUUUUAUCAUUCAUUUUUAUUAUUUAAAUCUCUAUAUGGCCGUCAUAGAUGCUGCUAUUACAUGGAUUUAUUACUAUUUUUCAUGUGUUCUUGUAAAUAGAACUCACUCAUAUAUUUAUUUGUCUACGGAGAGAGUAGUAUAAAGUAAGCUUCAUUUACAUGGAAGUUAAUUAAUCUCAAUAUG
Aegilops tauschii subsp. strangulata is the source of this 1017-nucleotide long non-coding RNA. RefSeq lists it as uncharacterized. NCBI's taxonomy places the organism in Eukaryota, Viridiplantae, Streptophyta, Magnoliopsida, Poales, Poaceae. The record is from RefSeq and is a predicted model, not a curated record.